This is a non-coding RNA of Zootermopsis nevadensis, 75 nucleotides long. The record is from Rfam. Lineage: Eukaryota; Metazoa; Arthropoda; Insecta; Blattodea; Termopsidae.
GCCACGGUGGUCUAGCGAUUAGAACGCUGGCCUUGUAAUCCUGGGGGGUCUCGGGUUCGAUUCCCGGCGGUGCCC